UNGUCUGUGAAAUUCCGGGGCUUAACUUCGGGGUGNCAGGCGAUACGGGCAUAACUAGAGUGCUGUAGGGGAGACUGGAAUUCCUGGUGUAGCGGUGGAAUGCGCAGAUAUCAGGAGGAACACCGAUGGCGAAGGCAGGUCUCUGGGCAGUAACUGACGCUGAGGAGCGAAAGCACGGGGAGCGAACAGGAUUAGAUACCCUGGUAGUCCAUGCUGUAAACGGUGGGCGUUAGGUGUGGGGACCGGUUUGGUUUCUGUGCCGUAGCUAACGCAUUAAGCGCCCCGCCUGGGGAGUACGGCCGCAAGGCUAAAACUCAAAGGAAAUGACGGGGGCCCGCACAAGCGGCGGAGCAUGUGGAUUAAUUCGAUGCAACGCGAAGAACCUUACCUGGGUUUGACAUGCACCAGACGGUUGUAGAGAUACGUACCUCCCUUUGUGGUUGGUGUGCAGGUGGUGCAUGGUUGUCGUCAGCUCGUGUCGUGAGAUGCUGGGUUAAGUCCCGCAACGAGCGCAACCCUUGUCUUAUGUUGCCAGCACGUUUAGGGUGGGGACUCAUGAGAGACUGCCGGGGUUAACUCGGAGGAAGGUGGGGAUGACGUCAAAUCAUCAUGCCCUUUAUGCCCAGGGCUUCACACAUGCUACAAUGGUUAGUACAACGCGCUGCGAGCCUGUGAGGGUGAGCGAAUCGCUGAAAGCUAAUCUCAGUUCGGAUUGGGGUCUGCAACUCGACCCCAU
Molecule: ribosomal RNA, 736 nt
Filed under: uncultured bacterium
Lineage: Bacteria
Description: bacterial SSU rRNA
Rfam family: Bacterial small subunit ribosomal RNA
Source: RNAcentral